GGUAAGGUGUCCGAGUGGUUAUGGAGCUGCGUUUAGGUAUUUCCUAAGCAGAGAUCCGCAGUGGCGUUGCCUCGAGGGUUCGAAUCCCUCCCUUAUCA
This 98-nucleotide transfer RNA is filed under the name Hortaea werneckii. Its description in RNAcentral is "tRNA-Leu". It matches the Rfam family "tRNA". From Rfam's summary of the family: Transfer RNA (tRNA) molecules are approximately 80 nucleotides in length. Their secondary structure includes four short double-helical elements and three loops (D, anti-codon, and T loops). Lineage: Eukaryota; Fungi; Ascomycota; Dothideomycetes; Mycosphaerellales; Teratosphaeriaceae. The record is from RNAcentral.